RNAcentral lists this transfer RNA (75 nucleotides) under Caldiserica bacterium CG_4_8_14_3_um_filter_35_18. RNAcentral's name for it is "tRNA-Arg". It matches the Rfam family "tRNA". Rfam says of the family: Transfer RNA (tRNA) molecules are approximately 80 nucleotides in length. Their secondary structure includes four short double-helical elements and three loops (D, anti-codon, and T loops). The record is from RNAcentral. RNAcentral also lists the same sequence under 2 other names. Lineage: Bacteria; Pseudomonadati; Caldisericota.
ACGCCUGUAGCUCAACGGAUAGAGCGAUGGCCUCCGGAGCCAUAGAUAGGAGUUCGAUUCUCCUCAGGCGUGCCA